GAUUUCUGAUCUUGUUUACAACGGAUUUGGAGGUGGCUAACUAUCCUGAAUUCCCACAAAUAAGAAAGAAGACUGAAGUUCAGAGAGGUGAAGGGACUGGCUCAGGGGCUACCCCUAUGGUUGCGGGAGCUAAGAUUCCAGCCCAGCAGCGUGAUCCAGAGCCCAUCUGAGCUACCCAGAUCUUCCUGCUGUUAAACCCGUCCUGGGGCAGCUCUUGCCUGAUGGGCUACCUGAGGAACCCACAGGAAAUCAAGGGAGGUGCCUGCAAAGUUGCCGUGGGGUCACAGCCUGCCCUUUGGAAGGGGCUGUUUCUGGGCUGCUGUGACUUCCUGCCAUUAUUUCCUCUCUGUUCUCCCUCUGGAAUGAAUAAAGUACUUCUGAAAAACCAUCAACCCAGUCGAUACGGAAAUGCUGGUCCCUACAAUAGAAUGCUCUGUGGUCAUUAAAAAGAUUAAAAAGGUCAA
This 464-nucleotide long non-coding RNA is filed under the name Homo sapiens (human). RNAcentral describes it as "non-protein coding ZNF341-AS1:4". Lineage: Eukaryota; Metazoa; Chordata; Mammalia; Primates; Hominidae. The record is from RNAcentral.